This 2550-nucleotide ribosomal RNA is filed under the name Triticum aestivum (bread wheat). Its description in RNAcentral is "partial small subunit ribosomal RNA". The record is from RNAcentral. Lineage: Eukaryota; Viridiplantae; Streptophyta; Magnoliopsida; Poales; Poaceae.
AUGGGACAAGGAGGAGGCGGACCGUGCCGAGCAAGGCCUACCGCCCUCUUCGAUAAAUACGUUGACAAGCAGACCAGGAACUUUGUCAGGGCCCGGUACAAGAAGGACCCGAAAACAAAGGAGCUUACCACGGAUCCGAAGACCAGGGAGCUUGAGCUUGUUCUGGCGACUGAAAGCAGUAGCGCGGGGUCGACUAAGAGCAACCCUUGGGACACCACUCUAAAUAGGGCGUUGAAUGUAAUGAAGAACAAGGAUAAGCUCAGUAAGCCGACGUCAGCUGGUCGUGUGGCCGGCAAAGGCUUGUCGACAAAAUGGUCGUCAUACUAUAACACUGGUGGGCGAAAGGAGAAAAAGACCAGCUCGGAAAGCCAGGCGCGCGAGGUUCAAGAACUCAGGGCACAGGUGGCGCGGAUUCCGAAGAUGGUCCAAGAGCAAGUGGAACAACAACUCGGAAGGACGAUCACCGCCAUUGUGCCUACCUUGAUCCAGGGGAUUAGUGCGUGGAUUGCGGGUGGCCAACAGGGGCCGCCCCCGAUUCCUAGCUUCACGGCCAGCAACUCGCAGAACGCGAUGGCGGGGCCAUUGGUGUCUCCGACGCCGGCACGGGAGCUUAAUGCACCCGGGUGUACGCCGGCCGGCACCUCUGCAGCAAGCGGCCCCUCCGUCAACUGCACGCCCGCCGUUGGCGGUGCCUCGACAUUAGCCGAGCUCGACGCCAUCAUCACGGGCGCCGCCGACGUUCCGUGCACUCUCCUGCACUUCGUGAACAACGAGUUGGUCGAUGUCGCCAAGGGCAAAAUCGUUCAACCGGGCAACCCCUUGUUCCACGGUACCCAGAUGCCACCCAACUUGUUUAGGGUUCAACUGGUUCGGGUGCUGCCAGGCUACGACGAGUUGUUACCUCCGAUUCGACCCGUCGGGGCCGACGAUGAUGACGUGAUGACCCUCAGCGCCUGCCUGAGCUGGCCCCUGCUUUGGCCGAAGAGCCAGAUUCGUUUGGGGGCGGGGGACACCACCCCAAAGACAACACCGCCAGUCGUGCCGGCGCCAAGUCGGCCCCAUGGCAAGACCGCCGCAACGGUGCCGGACAUCCCUAUGCCACUGGAUCCAAACAUGCAUAUGGCACAGGAUCAGAACGACGAUGACGACGAUACAUUUGCCAACGUCGAUCAGUACUUUGCCGAUCAUGGGUACGGUGGCGACUUCGUGGGGCCUCCUUCUCAAGAACCCAACCCAACAAAAGACGUGCGCGAUCUAGCUGGUACCGCGGAGAAGCCAAGUUGCAACAGGCGUCGUCUGCCGUUCAGCUCUCAGGAGACGCCUCCAGCUGCCGACUUCACCGAGCCUCAGAUAGGCGAGGUGCGAAAUAUUAUCAGCCCCAACACACUCAAGAAGGCGGUCUGUGAGCAGAACUCGGUCCCAUUACAGGAGAAGAAGAAGGCACGCAAAAGAAAGACUAACAAGGGUGCGGGCCAACCGGCACCGAGUACGAUCCGUGCUCAGGACGGGCCACCUUCACCUGAGGAUAUCUCGAGGAGGGUGCAUGUGGCGGGUAGGCCGAUGCUACCGAGAAAUAUGCUCGAUGCUGCAACCGGUGCUAUGCGGAGUCUGCAUGACAGUGUUCUUUCUUUGGAGAAGCGGCGUCUCAGAGAGAAGGAUGUGGCAUACCCGGUUUUCGCGGCCAAGGUGCCAGAGGGCAAGGGCUUUGUGGAUAACUCCAUCGGGGGUACGAUCGUCCUGCGGUUUGAUGACAUCCACGCUAUGUUGAACCUCCAUCCGCUGCACUACACCUUCGUUCGGCUAUUUUCGCUGAGUAUGGAGAUGCGGAUCAUUCGCGACAAGACCCCGGACAUCGUGAUAGUCGACCCCUUCUACAUGCGUGCCAAGAUCUUGGGCAGUGAUGGGGACCGGCAAGUCGCGAGUUCUUACCUCGAAGGCGUCAUUCUGGCAAACCAAGAUAAGGAUAAUUUCCUCAUGCCUUACUUUCCCGAUGACACACGUUGCACGCUCAUCCUCCUAAGCCCCAAAUAUUCCAUGGCCACAUAUUUCGACCCGGACCGUCAGUCGAACGUAGACUACACAAAUUUCAAGAAGGUUCUUGAUGAUGUUCUCCCCGGCUACGUCAAAUCUGGAGGCACCUUCACCAGGCCUAUUCGUAAGUACGGCAAGCACGUGUUCUCCCACAAUACGACGUUCUGCUGCGUCAAGCAGCCAACUGGCGGUCAGAAGGGUGCCUACUACGCCAUCCAUCACAUGCGGGCGAUCGUACGGGACCAUCAUCAACUUCUGCUACCGAGUAGACUCAAAGAUUGGGCUGCGAGCGUGUCGGCAAUCCAGGACGCGAACAUCAGACAAGAAUUCUUUCGCAUCCAGUCGGAGUUUGCGGAAAUCAUCCAUCAAGAUGUCCUUCGUACCUCGGGGCAGUUCAACCUUAGAAAUCAACCGUCCAACAGUGACAUCGACACAAUCCUACAAAUGCAGGCUGACAACGCCCGUUGUUUCAUGACUCCCACGAUAGACGGCGGCUUCAUCCACGCUCCGGUCCCUUGA